GCACCAUAUUACAAGUGCUUACUCAAGAUGAGAAAACCAUUGAGAUCGUAGGUGAAAGACACAAGCCAAAACCACAUUUUGAUGGAUGAUUACACAGGUUUCAGAGCUAUUUAAGCUACUCAUAGUGGAGAAGGCAUUGUAGGAAGACUCCAUCCUUGAUGGAAAGAGAGAGAGAGCUGGUGGCGAUGAGAUGAACCAAUCAGGAAACCUGAAGUUAAUCACAGAUGCCUAUCGUGCCCUUUUUCCACUAGCCUCAUUCCAUCUCCUAAAGGUGAGAUGCUGUGAUUCACAGAGGAACCCUACAUGUGCAUCUCCAUGUAGUUGACAGGGAUGAUACUUGCAUUUCUUUGGAAGCCUUGAUACAGGUCUAGAUUAUAGAGAUUUUUGGAUUUUCAUGAACCCUAGAUGCCAACAAUGUAAUCCUUACCCUUACCUGGAAGCUCUACGAUUUGAUUCCAAGUUACGAAUCCAGAGUUUAUGAAAUCUCAAUUGAGAGGAAAAUUCCUCCUUGGGAAGCAGCCCAGCAUGGUGAGAAGGCAUGGAAGAACUGGAGUUUCCCAUCUGUGUUGUAUUACUGAUUUUCCAUUCUCCACUGAGUGGUUUAGGGCAAGCAUUUCAACCUCUUUACAGCCUUCACUUUUUCUUGUUCAUUAUAUAAAAAUAACAUUGUUUUCUCUCUUCAAGGAUUGAAAUGGGAAUGAUCAAUUAUUUUGACAAUAACUGUCAUAUACUAACUGCUCAAUAAAUAUAUAAGUUCUUAAA
This is a long non-coding RNA of Apodemus sylvaticus (European woodmouse), 762 nucleotides long. RefSeq lists it as uncharacterized. The transcript has 3 exons. NCBI's taxonomy places the organism in Eukaryota, Metazoa, Chordata, Mammalia, Rodentia, Muridae. The record is from RefSeq and is a predicted model, not a curated record.